Molecule: ribosomal RNA, 419 nt
Filed under: uncultured Streptococcus sp.
Lineage: Bacteria; Bacillati; Bacillota; Bacilli; Lactobacillales; Streptococcaceae
Description: bacterial SSU rRNA
Rfam family: Bacterial small subunit ribosomal RNA
Source: RNAcentral
GAAGAAACCCUUUACCAGGUCUUGACAUACCGAUGCUAUUUCUAGAGAUAGAAAGUUACUUCGGUACAUCGGUGACAGGUGGUGCAUGGUUGUCGUCAGCUCGUGUCGUGAGAUGUUGGGUUAAGUCCCGCAACGAGCGCAACCCCUAUUGUUAGUUGCCAUCAUUCAGUUGGGCACUCUAGCGAGACUGCCGGUAAUAAACCGGAGGAAGUGGGAUGACGUCAAAUCAUCAUGCCCCUUAUGACCUGGGCUACACACGUGCUACAAUGGUUGGUACAACGAGUUGCGAGUCGGUGACGGCGAGCUAAUCUCUUAAAGCCAAUCUCAGUUCGGAUUGUAGGCUGCAACUCGCCUACAUGAAGUCGGAAUCGCUAGUAAUCGCGGAUCAGCACGCCGCGGUGAAUACGUUCCCGGGCCUU